RNAcentral lists this ribosomal RNA (469 nucleotides) under uncultured Thiobacillus sp. Its description in RNAcentral is "bacterial SSU rRNA". It matches the Rfam family "Bacterial small subunit ribosomal RNA", at positions 910 to 1382 of the family's 1533-position model. Lineage: Bacteria; Pseudomonadati; Pseudomonadota; Betaproteobacteria; Nitrosomonadales; Thiobacillaceae. The record is from RNAcentral.
UUGGACGGGGACCCGCACAAGCGGUGGAUGAUGUGGAUUAAUUCGAUGCAACGCGAAGAACCUUACCUACCCUUGACAUGUCCGGAACUUGCCAGAGAUGGCUUGGUGCCCGAAAGGGAAUCGGAACACAGGUGCUGCAUGGCUGUCGUCAGCUCGUGUCGUGAGAUGUUGGGUUAAGUCCCGCAACGAGCGCAACCCUUAUCAUUAGUUGCUACGCAAGGGCACUCUAAUGAGACUGCCGGUGACAAACCGGAGGAAGGUGGGGAUGACGUCAAGUCCUCAUGGCCCUUAUGGGUAGGGCUUCACACGUCAUACAAUGGUCGGUACAGAGGGUUGCCAAGCCGCGAGGCGGAGCCAAUCCCACAAAGCCGAUCGUAGUCCGGAUUGUUCUCUGCAACUCGAGAGCAUGAAGUCGGAAUCGCUAGUAAUCGUGGAUCAGAAUGUCACGGUGAAUACGUUCCCGGGUCUU